Molecule: ribosomal RNA, 425 nt
Filed under: uncultured bacterium
Lineage: Bacteria
Description: bacterial SSU rRNA
Rfam family: Bacterial small subunit ribosomal RNA
Source: RNAcentral
GUUAGGAAUAUUGGACAAUGGGCGCAAGCCUGAUCCAGCCAUGCCGCGUGAGUGAUGAAGGCCUUCGGGUUGUAAAGCUCUUUAGCCGAUGAUUAUAAUGACUGUAGUCGGAAAAUAAGCCCCGGCUAACUUCGUGCCAGCAGCCGCGGUAAUACGAAGGGGGCGAGCGUUAUUCGGAAUCACUGGGCGUAAAGCGUGCGUAUGCGGCUUUGCAAGUUGGGAGUGAAAGCCCAGGGCUCAACCCUGGAAUUGCUCUCAAAACUGCAAGGCUCGAAUUCGGGAGAGGAUAGCGGAAUUGUCAGUGUAGCAGUGAAAUGCGUAGAUAUUGACAGGAACACCAGUGGCGUAAGCGGCUAUCUGGACCGAUAUUGACGCUGAGGCACGAAAGCGUGGGGAUCAAACAGGAUUAGAAACCCUGGUAGUCC